This is a small nuclear RNA of Mastomys coucha (southern multimammate mouse), 104 nucleotides long. Lineage: Eukaryota; Metazoa; Chordata; Mammalia; Rodentia; Muridae. The record is from RefSeq and is a predicted model, not a curated record.
GUGCUUGCUUCAGCAACACAUAUACUAAAGUUGAAACAAUACAGAGAUUUACUUGGCCACUGCUAAAGGAUAACACACAAAUUUGUGAAGUGUUCCAUGAACAA